UACGGGGGGGGCAAGCGUUGUUCGGAAUUACUGGGCGUAAAGGGCUCGUAGGUGGCCAACUGAGUCAGACGUGAAAUCCCUCGGCUUAACCGGGGAACUGCGUCUGAUACUGGAUGGCUUGAGUUUGGGAGAGGGACGCGGAAUUCCAGGUGUAGCGGUGAAAUGCGUAGAUAUCUGGAGGAACACCGGUGGCGAAGGCAGCUCGCUGGGACGGUACUGACGCUGAGGCGCGAAAGCGUGGGGAGCAAACAGG
Molecule: ribosomal RNA, 253 nt
Filed under: uncultured bacterium
Lineage: Bacteria
Description: partial 16S ribosomal RNA
Rfam family: Bacterial small subunit ribosomal RNA
Source: RNAcentral